GAUGAAGAACGCAGUGAAAUGCGAUAAGUAAUGUGAAUUGCAGAAUUCAGUGAAUCAUCGAAUCUUUGAACGCACAUUGCGCCCCUUGGUAUUCCGAGGGGCAUGCCUGUUCGAGCGUCAUUAUAACCCCUCAAGCUCAGCUUGGUGUUGGGGCCUGCUGCACUGGCAGCCCUUAAAAUCAGUGGCGGCGCCAUCUGGCUCUAAGCGUAGUAAUUCUUCUCGCUAUGGAGUCCUGGUGGAUGCUUGCCAUCAACCCCCAAUUUUUCUAUGGUUGACCUCGGAUCAGGUAGGGAUACCCGCUGAACUUAAGCGUAUCAAUAAGCGGAGGA
RNAcentral lists this unclassified non-coding RNA (329 nucleotides) under soil metagenome. Its description in RNAcentral is "partial contains 5.8S ribosomal RNA, internal transcribed spacer 2, and large subunit ribosomal RNA". The stretch from base 1 to 120 matches the Rfam family "5.8S ribosomal RNA", at positions 35 to 154 of the family's 154-position model. The record is from RNAcentral.